This 497-nucleotide ribosomal RNA is filed under the name uncultured bacterium. RNAcentral describes it as "partial 16S ribosomal RNA". It matches the Rfam family "Bacterial small subunit ribosomal RNA", at positions 28 to 507 of the family's 1533-position model. The record is from RNAcentral.
GACGAACGCUGGCGGCGUGCCUAAUACAUGCAAGUAGAACGCUGAAGAGAGGAGCUUGCUCUUCUUGGAUGAGUUGCGAACGGGUGAGUAACGCGUAGGUAACCUGCCUUGUAGCGGGGGAUAACUAUUGGAAACGAUAGCUAAUACCGCAUAACAAUGGAUGACACAUGUCAUUUAUUUGAAAGGGGCAAUUGCUCCACUACAAGAUGGACCUGCGUUGUAUUAGCUAGUAGGUGAGGUAAUGGCUCACCUAGGCGACGAUACAUAGCCGACCUGAGAGGGGGAUCGGCCACACUGGGACUGGGACACGGCCCAGAAUCCUACGGGAGGCAGCAGGAGGGAAUCUUCGGCAAUGGGGGCAACCCUGACCGAGCAACGCCGCGGGAGUGAAGAAGGUUUUCGGAUCGUAAAGCUCUGUUGUAAGUCAAGAACGGGUGUGAGAGUGGAAAGUUCACACUGUGACGGUAGCUUACCAGAAAGGGACGGCUAACUACGUG